Molecule: ribosomal RNA, 497 nt
Filed under: uncultured bacterium
Lineage: Bacteria
Description: partial 16S ribosomal RNA
Rfam family: Bacterial small subunit ribosomal RNA
Source: RNAcentral
GAUGAACGCUGGCGGCGUGCCUAAUACAUGCGAGUCGAGCGAACAGACGAGGAGCUUGCUCCUCUGACGUUAGCGGCGGACGGGUGAGUAACACGUGGAUAACCUACCUAUAAGACUGGGAUAACUUCGGGAAACCGGAGCUAAUACCGGAUAAUAUAUUGAACCGCAUGGUUCAAUAGUGAAAGACGGUUUUGCUGUCACUUAUAGAUGGAUCCGCGCCGCAUUAGCUAGUUGGUAAGGUAACGGCUUACCAAGGCAACGAUGCGUAGCCGACCUGAGAGGGUGAUCGGCCACACUGGAACUGGGACACGGUCCAGACUCCUACGGGAGGCAGCAGUAGGGAAUCUUCCGCAAUGGGCGAAAGCCUGACGGAGCAACGCCGCGUGAGUGAUGAAGGUCUUCGGAUCGUAAAACUCUGUUAUUAGGGAAGAACAAAUGUGUAAGUAACUAUGCACGUCUUGACGGUACCUAAUCAGAAAGCCACGGCUAACUACGUG